Molecule: long non-coding RNA, 207 nt
Filed under: Elaeis guineensis (African oil palm)
Lineage: Eukaryota; Viridiplantae; Streptophyta; Magnoliopsida; Arecales; Arecaceae
Description: long non-coding RNA (EGUI_LNC038703)
Source: RNAcentral
CUCAUAUGGAGUCUUUAUGACUGAUUAAUUUGGAAUCCAGUUGAGAACAUGAUAAGUAGUUUCAAAAAUAUAACCUUAAUAGAUGACUGACAGACUUGUUAACCCCAUCAUGGAUCGAACUAUAUCUAAUAAAUUUGAUUCCAAUAAGAGAUAAUCCUAUUCUUUUCUAGAUAUGUCAAAAAUUCAUCGAAAAAAUAUUCUCCUCUU